GACGAGGGGUCCUAGCGUUGUUCGGAAUUACUGGGCGUAAAGCGCAUGUAGGUGGCUUGAUAAGUCAGGGGUGAAAUCCCGGGGCUCAACCUCGGAAUUGCCUUUGAUACUGUCUGUCUUGAGUCCGGGAGAGGUGAGUGGAAUUCCUAGUGUAGAGGUGAAAUUCGUAGAUAUUAGGAAGAACACCAGUGGCGAAGGCGGCUCACUGGCCCGGUACUGACGCUCAUGUGCGAAAGCGUGGGGAGCAAACAGG
Molecule: ribosomal RNA, 253 nt
Filed under: uncultured bacterium
Lineage: Bacteria
Description: partial 16S ribosomal RNA
Rfam family: Bacterial small subunit ribosomal RNA
Source: RNAcentral